Molecule: small RNA, 399 nt
Filed under: uncultured Glomus
Lineage: Eukaryota; Fungi; Glomeromycota; Glomeromycetes; Glomerales; Glomeraceae
Description: SSU rRNA
Rfam family: Eukaryotic small subunit ribosomal RNA
Source: RNAcentral
AGCAGCCGCGGUAAUUCCAGCUCCAAUAGCGUAUAUUAAAGUUGUUGCAGUUAAAAAGCUCGUAGUUGAAUUUCGGGGUCAGUAGAUUGGUCGUGCCACUGGUAUGUACUGGUCUUACUGGCUCCUCCUUCCUGAUGAACCGUAAUGCCAUUAAUUUGGUGUUGCGGGGAGACUGGACUGUUACUUUGAAAAAUUAGAGUGUUUAAAGCAGGCUAACGCUUGAAUACAUUAGCAUGGAAUAAUGAAAUAGGACGUUCGAUCUUAUUUUGUUGGUUUCUAAGAUUGACGUAAUGAUUAAUAGGGAUAGUUGGGGGCAUUAGUAUUCAAUUGUCAGAGGUGAAAUUCUUGGAUUUGUUGAAGACUAACUACUGCGAAAGCAUUUGCCAAGGAUGUUUUCAU